UAAAAGUAAGGCUGUUUUGGAAGCCCUAAUUCUUUGGUGAUUUGAAACCCUAAUUUUUAACCAAUUGGGAUUUGACAUCUUUGUGUAUCAUCCAAUAUAAUGGUGACACACCUAGGUUUUCAUUCAUUCUAGGUUUACAUGUUUACAUGGCUUACUAGAAGGUUUGAUGUCUAUCAUACUGAUAAAGUGACAAGUGGUAAACUAGAAACAUGCAUUGGGGCCAGAAGGAUAUAUAUUUCUUUUUUCUUAAUUUUUUUUCAUUUGAGAAGUUUCUUUCUCUCUCUUCUCUCUUUCUCAUACGCGCUCUCUCUCUCUUUUCUCACCAUCUAAUGUUGUUCAUGAUGAACAACAAGAACACCAUGCAUGUUCAUCCCCAUCCCAGAUUCCGGCGAGCAACCACCGUCGCCGGAAAGUCCAAUCACUUCCAUUUUUUUUCCUCAACAGUUCUUAAUAUCUCUCUGCUCUCACCUUCUCUUUCUUCAUCACCGCAUCCACCACAACCUCCACCACCACCUACAAAUCAAUCUCCGAAUCAGAACGUCCUAUCCGCUUCCGGUGAUGCCGCCAUCAUCAAAAUCAAGUUAUUCCUCCUCUCAGACACAGGUAGUUGAAGUUUCAACUUCCAAAAAACUUGAAGAUAUUGUUCCUUCUUCUCCUAACAGUGAUGUUCCUCGUGUCAGGAACUCUUGCUUUGGCAAUUAUUGUCACUGCCUUCACUUUACAGGUUAGAAGCUCAUCAAAAUGACAUUGAACUUGAAGAGUGGUGACAAGGCUAUGAUUUUUUGUUUUGUGGAGUUUAUUGAACCCAAAUGCGCUCUCACCGCCAUGGAAGCUCUGCAAGGAUAUAAUGAGGCUGGCCUAGAAAAACCUUAUACAUUCAAGGCUGAUGAGAGGAAUGGAAGAUAGAAAUAAUUCUCAUAUGUUGAAUAGUGAUUGUGUGUACUUCUAACUUAAGUACCAAAUUGAAGAGAAAUAAUUACAAAUUCUCAGUGGUGACCACAAGUACUACUUCACAUUUUCUCAAAAACUUUCCAUAUUGUCAAGGUAUGGUUCAUCACCAAAUGAUUUUGAAGGAGUGUCUGCCCAUUUUGAUGUUCCUUUUGUUCAAGCUCCCUCAUUUCCUACACUUUCCAUUAAUGUGAUGAAUCUUUUGAAUUCAGGUAGAAACUGAGGAUGAGGUAGUACUAAGUUGAAAGUUGAAACUAAUAGAAUAGCAUCCAUCUAUAACAUCACCAAUGAUGAUGUAGCUAUGUGUCAGUUUUUUUUUUGCAAUUAUUGAUCAUGAAAAGAAGAGGACAUUUGUUUUGCGUAAAGAUGGCCUUCCUGAUGCUGGUCAGUAUUAUCUUAUCUUCAUCAAUUUGUUUUUCAUAGAUGUGUAAAUAUACAAAAGAGAUGUAUGAUAUGCAAUUCAUAAAUAAUAUAUAUCACUUAUAACUAUUGGGUUUUGGUUUUGGACACAACAAUAUGAUAGAUAGAGAAGUGAAAACAAUGAAUUGCACAUAUCCAAUGUUUAAGUGAAGAGAUUAUGAAUUCAACUUUCCCAGUUAUAUCACACAAACUCCUAACAUUUGGUUUUACUAAUUUUUAAAGUACAUGUACAUAUAUUUUGGUAAAGAGACGGUAGAAAUAUGCAGUCGUCACACACUCGUGUUUUUUUCAGAAACAAGAGAAUAUCGAUAAUGUUACACGAAAAAAGAAUAUAGAGAUGAAAAUUUUAUCAGCUACAAGUUGUAAUUAUCCAGCCCCAAAUCUCCCAAGACAUCAUUAGCAGCUUCCUUAUAGUUGGCAUGUGUUUGCUUUGCCUUCCUUAUGUAUUUCUCAAUUCCAUUCUUAAGCUGAAUAGUUCUGCACAAAAGAAAUUGUGUAAGCAGACAUCAUUAAGCUAGAAUACAAGGAUUGGGUGUGAUAACUAUUAGUUCUAAAAUGACAGUGUAUUAGGCAUUUUUAAGUAGAAUGACAAUUUCAACUUGAUAUGCAUUAUUUUGUGUAUUUUAUAUUUGUUGUUAGUUCGUUACUUAAGAUGAGUACUUUUUUGCAAUUUUGUAAUUUUGAAAAUAUUGACAUGAUUUUGGAACUUGGAUAGAAAUGCCAACAAGUUCUUCAUAUUAAGCAAUCAAUUAGUGUUGUCCGCAAACUGGCGUGAUCAUCCCUUUUGAAUUAUUUUGAGUGGUGUUCUUUCAUAUAUAUGUCCAUCGUUUAUUGAAAUUGUUGAUCAUUUUGGAUUUUAUAUACGGCAAUUUCAGUUUGGUUUCAUAUUUAAGGUUUUGAUUGGUUUUCUUUUGUUCUAUUAACCGAUUGGUGCUUAUGGAAAAACCACUUGAGAGUUUGUUUCGAAAGAUUAAUUAAUUAUUCUUUUUGUUUGAGGUUGAUCUUGGAUAGAAUCAACUCUCGUGCAGCAGACUAUGUAAUGUAUAUGCCAUCAUGAUAUAGAUUGUAUGAUAAUUACUUUUGAUAUAGUUUUGGUUUGUGUUUUUUGUUCAACUUAUGGUUUAUAAUGGUUCUUGGUUUGUGAGCUUAAACCUCUCUGCUUCUUAGAUAAUGAGAUUGGUGCUUGUAAGUUUUGUGAUUUGGUUAUUGGUUUUCAUUGCCAUCUGGAAAAUGGAGGCAGUGAUAGGGAUAUCACUGUAGCAAAGAAUUAACUGCUCUUCAUAUUCUUAUAGUUUAUGGUGAGAGAUUUCAAUGGACAAUGAUUAACUGCUCUUCAAAUUCAGUCUUAUAAUAUUUACAUUGUUACUUAGGCCUUUAAUUUUCCAUUGUACUAUUUGCAUGCAUUGCUUCAAUCUUUACAUUGUUAACGUAGGCCAUUUAUGCUGCAUUUAUUUAUCUUGUAUCUUGUGCAGACUGCAGAAUAAUUUAAGGUUUUAUAAUACAUAAUGAAAGUGGAACAAUUCUUUUUUAUGGUUGUGAUAUUUAGGUUCAAAUUUCAAAUAAAGUUAACUACCUGCAGCAAAGAAUCUCAUUCUUGCUGGUGUCAAAUCUGUGACCUUGCAUGAUGUGGGGACUAUUGAGCUAUGGGAUCUGUCUAGCAAUUUUGUGUUUUCGGAAAAUGAUGUUGGGAAGAACAGAGCAUUGGCUUCUGUUGCUAAGUUGCAGGAGCUGAACAAUGCAGUUGUUGUGCAAAGCUUAACAUCUGAGCUGACAAAAGAGCAACUUGCUGAUUUCCAAGUACAAGCUUAAUCUCCAGGUUAUUGACAAUACAGGGUCAAUAACUUUUGUGAUGUUUGACCGUGUUGUUUUCCAAGUUGUUGGAUUGACUGCCCAGGAUAUGCUAGAUUCUAUGAACAAUGAUCCUAACUCAACUACCUAUCCAAGAGAGCUUGAUGUGUUUAUCAACAAGCGGAUGCUUUUCAAGGUGGAAGUGACUGAUGCUAAUUUAUACCGGAAUUGGCGUGGUUAUACUGUGAAAAAGAUGACUGCCGAUGAGGAAAUCAUCAAGCAAUUCACUACACUCCACGGGAUAAAUUUUCAGUUAGAUGAUGAUGCUAAUGACACCAGCUUCAAUCAUUUGGAGUGUGAGUUGGGAGACAAUGAUCAUCCGGCUGCACUUGAUGGAGUUGAAUCAAGCAAUAAUGCCCAUAUACCCGUUCCUCCUUCAUCUCAGACUCCAACUAGCAAGCUAAGUGGCAAACAGGGGCCUGCUAUUGCUGUGGUCGAUGCUUCUUCCUCUGAUAAGCCUAUUGUGCAGAGGACUAUAGAUCUUGAUGGGGAUGAUGCGACUCCAGCUGGUACCAUUGGUCCAUCAACAGACAAUCCAAUUGAUUAAGUCCACAUUAUCACUCCAAAGGAUGACAACUUUCCCUGUGUCAAGACUGGUUGUUCUAAGUGAUUGUGGCUGUCAUGGUGUUUUCCUUUGUUCAUGAUAAGUGUAUUUGGUCUUAGUUUCCUGUCUAUUUGUCUUGGUGUUGCUGUUUGUCUACAUGUUUUGUAUCUUUUGAUGUUUUAUGUUCUACUAUCUAAUGUUUAGUGAAUGCUUUAUAUAAGCAUCCUUUUAUGUACUAUGUACCUGUUCCACAUAAUAAAUGGAAUCCAUCAUGUAGUUA
RNA transcript from Trifolium pratense (red clover), 4040 nucleotides. RefSeq lists it as uncharacterized. The record is from RefSeq and is a predicted model, not a curated record. NCBI's taxonomy places the organism in Eukaryota, Viridiplantae, Streptophyta, Magnoliopsida, Fabales, Fabaceae. The transcript has 15 exons.